This is a long non-coding RNA of Silurus meridionalis, 1741 nucleotides long. RefSeq lists it as uncharacterized. The transcript has 3 exons. The record is from RefSeq and is a predicted model, not a curated record. Lineage: Eukaryota; Metazoa; Chordata; Actinopteri; Siluriformes; Siluridae.
UCUGGUCACUGUUAAAUUCAGUAUUCUUUUAAACGGUUAACAAAGUCCUAACACUAAUUCAAGUGUAAAAUUUUCAUUGUACAAUUAGUUGUCACAGUACUGACUAUUCCAUUUUUAGCACAAACAACCUUCACGUAUGAGCUUCAGGAUACAAUAAAGAAGCUACGAGGUGAAAAUGCAUACUUGCAUCAUCGACUGGAAAACCUCACCCAAGCACUGCAUGAGCUGAGAAAACUCCUGGAUCACUCAAAAGGUCAUGAAUUUUCAGAGCCCAGUGUAAAUCAUGACAGUGAUCAGUUACAUGCCUGGAAUGAGUGGAUUCAUAAUGGUAUUAGUGCUGAAACACAUCACCUGAUUCAACAAGCAUUCUGUUUGUCUGAUCAUGAUUUGGCCAGUGCAUUCCAUCCAGCAUAUGUACUUAUUCUUGUGUUCUGCACGACUGUGUGUAAUUUCUUGUUGUUCUAGCUGUGAAACAUGAAUGUAGGCCACUGGCACAGUGUUGCAUAUAAAUGGGUAAAUACAAAAUGUUUUAAAGUUCAGUAAAAGAAAUCUGUUAUUGGCAGUGGUGGACGAAUUAACUUUAACGCAUGUACUUUAAAGUAGUAAAGUAGAGAUACAGUAGGUAAGUGCUCCCUUUAAACUUUUAUUUGAGUAAUUUGAGUACAAAAGUAUUUGUCUUCAAAAUGUACUUAAGUAUCCAAGUACUAUAAUUUAUAAUGGCUAUAAGGUCUUAUGAUUUUUCUCUUGCUAAAUCAACUUAGUUUAUAUAAAAUACUCUGUUACUCUUAACACACCAAUCUAUUAAUAGAAUUGUAUUAAUGAGUCAAACACUUAUUGAUAUCUAUUAAGAUUUUCAUGAGCACAAAACCUUAUUUUCUACUACUUCAAAACAAUCGCACAAAUAAGGCCAUGGGUACUGUGGCAAGUUAGAGUCAGAGUUAGAGUUAGAGUUAGAGUUAGAGUUUCUUUUAUCAUUUAUUCCUUUCAAAAUGUUCUGUGUGAUGUUGAACUGAUGCUGAACUGUAUGUUCGUGCUACGUAGAUACCACCAAUAGCGGUUCUAGCUUGAAGGACACCCUGGGUGAUCCACACCAUGACCCAACAUCUCCCCCACUGAUUAGUUUUAGCUUUGAGAAGCUCCUCUCUGCUUCAGCUACUGUCACUGGAUGAGUAAAACAUAUUCUCAGAGCAGUCCACAAUACAUUUCUGAGAUCUUGCUUUUAUAUAUAAAUAUCACCCUAAAUGCAUUUAUUGCGCAAUUAUAUACACGUCAUUAUGCACAAUUUUUACAACUCUCAGAGCCGAAAACCAUAAACUCUGGCUAAUUGUAGCCAUAAUAUACAUACAACAUCAAUAUCCUUAUAAUAUACCUGUGUAUCUUUUAAAUGAACCUUUUAGGCAGCACUGGAGAUUCCCCUUACUGAACUCAAUUUAGUACCUAUUCAGUACAAUCACAGAAAACCUUUAUGACAUCACCUCAAUUAAAGGUAACCCUAUCAAUAAGUACUAGUUUAACUGCUAGUUAGGUUGUAAAUGUUUUGUUGCUACACACAUUAUGAUAAACUGCAUACUAUAAAUUAUAAUGUUAUGCACCUGAAUUUGGCUCCUGAGGGUUUAGACCUUUUUUGUCACCCUUAAAGGGUGCACACCUUUCGAGUCCCGACCAGGUUUAUUGCCUGCAACAUGAUAUAAUAAUGGAUGCAACUGUGCAAAUGGUCGAUUAGUUUUUGCCGUGGACGCCC